Molecule: RNA transcript, 2657 nt
Organism: Musa acuminata AAA Group (dessert banana)
Lineage: Eukaryota; Viridiplantae; Streptophyta; Magnoliopsida; Zingiberales; Musaceae
Gene name: arogenate dehydratase/prephenate dehydratase 2, chloroplastic
Exons: 15
Source: RefSeq, a predicted model, not a curated record
UCGUAGGGGAGCGGCCGCGGCGCGCGCACGUCUCUUGAAGACACCCUCGAUGAAUUCUACCCCGUUCACUCGCACUCCAUCGUUCAAACCGCGGUUCGGGACGGAGGGCGGCCGGAUAUCCAACGGAAAUAAGCAGCCUACCCGGGUCGCCGUUCGGCCGCGCCCGAUCGCCCUCGCGAUGGCAUCGGACCAUGGCGGGGGAGGCGCCGCCGCCGCCGAUGGCGGUAUCAACAACGCCGCGGGUCUCGGGCUUAGGGCGUCGCUGGAGGAGACCACUGCCGACGUCGCCUGCAAGGAUUCCCAGUCUCUGCCUCGGCCUCUAUCCAUAUCUGAUGUCUCUGGUUCGGUUAAUGGAUCGAGAUUUCGCGUUGCGUACCAGGGGCUCCCGGGUGCAUACAGUGAAGCUGCGGCAGCCAAGGCGUAUCCAAACUGUGAAGCGGUUCCAUGCGAGCAGUUUGAUACUGCCUUUGAUGCUGUUGAACGUUGGCUUGUUGAUCGGGCAGUUCUACCUAUUGAAAAUUCACUAGGUGGUAGCAUCCAUCGCAAUUAUGACCUUUUACUUCGCCAUAAUUUGCACAUUGUCGGGGAAGUAAAAUAUGCAGUUCGGCAUUGUUUACUAGCUAAUCAUGGAGUGAAAAAGGAAGAUCUGAAAAGAGUUCUCAGCCACCCUCAGGCCCUUGCACAGUGCGAGACUACACUUGCAAAAUUAGGGGUUGUCAGAGAAUCUGUAGAUGACACAGCGGGAGCUGCAAAUUUUAUUGCUACCCACAAACUCCAAGAUGCAGGGGCUGUUGCCAGUUCAUUAGCCGCUGAAAUAUAUGGACUGGAUAUCCUUGCCCGAGAUAUUCAGGAUGACUCCGACAAUAUUACUAGAUUCCUGAUGCUGGCACGGGAACCCAUUAUUCCAGUAAUUGAUAGACCUUUUAAGACAAGCAUAGUUUUUUCUCUCGAAGAAGGCCCGGGUGUGCUUUUCAAGGCACUUGCUGUUUUUGCUUUGAGGGAUAUCAACCUUACAAAGAUUGAAAGUCGUCCCAGGAAGAAUAAGCCAUUACGCAUAACUGACGAUGGCAGCAAUGGACCUUUAAAGUAUUUCGACUAUCUCUUCUACGUAGAUUUUGAAGCAUCAAUGGCUUCACACAAUGCCCAAAAUGCCCUUAGGCACCUGAAGGAAUUUGCGACAUUCUUGAAAGUCUUGGGGAGUUAUCCUAGGGACAUGAGUGAGGCAUGACUUACCGUGUUCGGACGAUGGGCACUAUGAGUUUUGCUGUUGCGCAUUGUGAAGGUAUCUUCAAUCCUCCCAGCAGAAGAGAAUGAGGAUAGUCGAUAACAACUUUGUAUGCAGAAGAAAUCAAAAGGCGAAGAAGGUACAAAGAGAUCCUGAUCGAGAUGCUCCGGUCUGCAGGCCCAGCGUGUCAGAAGUGAAACGCCAAAGAGAAGAUACAAUGUAUCAGGGAGCCCUGUUCGCCACCGAAAUGGCACGAGAUCCUGAGCGGCGGCCGUGGCGUCGAGGUACUCGCCCAGGUGGUCUGCACUGCAGAGCAGCAACAAGAACACUACAGCCUGACGGUGCUGACACGCGGCCACGCAUGCCUCUUCGAUUUCUCUUAAUCCCUUUGGAAUACGUGAAGUUGGACAAAUCACUAUUCCCAUUUUACUGGCGCUCGACACUCCAAAAAUUCUACGCAUGCCAUCCCGAACAUGAAACGCUCAAACAUGCCAUGAAUCUUUUGUACGUAAUCAAUUUCAAUUAUCUAACAAUAUGAUCUUUUCGUGCAUGCAGGGGAUUGCAUACGUCUAUGGAAAAAGGUUGUUGUAUAGCUUAGGCAAAAACAAUCAAGUCUAUCAGUGAUUUUGCUAAAAAAAUAAUAAUUCAUCUUUAUGAUUUGAAUCGUGAUAUUUAGAUUAUAAAAUAUAAUUUAAUCCUUGGCCCAUCAUAAUUUUCAAUUGCAUCAAUAUAUGUUGAAAAUUAAACUAAAAAGAUAUUAUGAAGUCCAUUAAUUAAGUAAGAUUAAGAAAAACAAAUAAAAGUAAAUAAAGAAAUAGGCAGCCCAUUAAUUAAUUCGUUGGAUGUGUCCAACGCAUAUGUGAAUGAAUCCAAUCUUCCAUCAGUUUUAAAUCCAAUAAACAGGAGGAGAGGAGGAGAUAGAAGGAGAAAUUAGACCUCCUCCUGUGACAGUUGCGGGCUUCCAUGAGCGAGCUGUAGCUGCCGCUCUGAUUUGGCUCCGAGACAACAUGGUGACGCCUUCCGAGGCUUCCAGGCACGGAGGCAGCGGCUUAGAGGAGAUCUGGAAGAGGGAGCUGGGCCCGUCUCUGCCUCGAUUCUUCGCUCGCCGAGUCGGUGGUUCUGAGGAAAGGAACUGGUUGUGGCCCUUGCUCUAAAGACCUGAUUCUGGUGGUGGAAACUCGGAAGUACUGUCCAUCCUCUAGAGUAUUACUGUCCCUCUGUUAUGUUUGGGUACAAGGGUUGUCAAAGUAAGCAAGAGAAGUUAGGAAUGGGAUUAUGUAGUGCCGCUGUUGCAAUUGGACAUGAGGGCGAUGGUUUCGAAAAGCAAUUUAGUCCUACGAUUGAGUCUUUGGCCUUUAAACAGUAUAAUACUGUUUUACUUGAGCCUUGAAACUGAUGUUGCACGAACUGUAAAUCAUGCUUCUUCGCUACA